UUACGGCCACAUCACGUUGAAACACUGGUUCCUGCCCGAUCAACAAAGUUAAGCGACGUCGAGCCUGGUCAGUAUCUAGAUGGGUGACCGCUUGGGAAUAUUAGGUGCGGUAA
This is a non-coding RNA of Acanthosepion pharaonis, 113 nucleotides long. The record is from the annotation of a GenBank genome assembly. Lineage: Eukaryota; Metazoa; Mollusca; Cephalopoda; Sepiida; Sepiidae.